Molecule: ribosomal RNA, 349 nt
Filed under: uncultured ectomycorrhiza (Basidiomycota)
Lineage: Eukaryota; Fungi; Basidiomycota
Description: eukaryotic LSU rRNA
Rfam family: Eukaryotic large subunit ribosomal RNA (bases 205-349)
Source: RNAcentral
UAUCAUCAACCCUCGCCGUUUUGUGCGGUUGCGGGUUGGAGCUGGGGGCUUGCCGCCGAAACGCGGCUCCCCUCAAAUGCCUCGGUUGGGCCUGUGGGUCGGACUCGAUUGGGCGUUGUACCAUCCUCGCUCUAAUGAGAUGUUCCCCUUCUGUGCCCUUCCACGACCUGCCGUUCGAGUGGCGGUCAAGCUAACUUUGAAAUUUGGCCUCAAAUCAGGUAGGACUACCCGCUGAACUUAAGCAUAUCAAUAAGCGGAGGAAAAGAAACUAACAAGGAUUCCCCUAGUAACUGCGAGUGAAGCGGGAAAAGCUCAAAUUUGAAAUCUGGCGGCUCUGCCGUCCGAGUUG